Molecule: long non-coding RNA, 290 nt
Filed under: Sinocyclocheilus anshuiensis
Lineage: Eukaryota; Metazoa; Chordata; Actinopteri; Cypriniformes; Cyprinidae
Description: lncRNA (ENSSANG00000016242.1)
Source: RNAcentral
GUCUUUCUCUGUGAUAACUGCACUAGCCCAUCUAUUUCAGCGCGGCUCCAGGGCUGGGUUUCCAGACAGGCUCAGGAGCUUUAUUUCUGUCAGGAUUCGGCGCACAAGAGCCUGUGUCAGGGGAGUUUACCCUCAAUUAAGCCCAGGUGUAAAAUUACACUUCUACCAACUGCUGUGCUUAAAAAUGGCAGAGAGUGAUUCUUCUCCAUUAAGCUUGAGGGCUCAGCCAAAUGCAUCACCUGAAUUCUCCAACAACCUGCUGAAAUUACAGGUUCAUUUCAGAACACUUA